Molecule: ribosomal RNA, 1372 nt
Filed under: uncultured bacterium
Lineage: Bacteria
Description: bacterial SSU rRNA
Rfam family: Bacterial small subunit ribosomal RNA
Source: RNAcentral
GAUGAACGCUGGCGGCGUGCCUAAUACAUGCAAGUCGAGCGAACGGACGAGAAGCUUGCUUCUCUGAUGUUAGCGGCGGACGGGUGAGUAACACGUGGAUAACCUACCUAUAAGACUGGGAUAACUUCGGGAAACCGGAGCUAAUACCGGAUAAUAUUUUGAACCGCAUGGUUCAAAAGUGAAAGACGGUCUUGCUGUCACUUAUAGAUGGAUCCGCGCUGCAUUAGCUAGUUGGUAAGGUAACGGCUUACCAAGGCAACGAUGCAUAGCCGACCUGAGAGGGUGAUCGGCCACACUGGAACUGAGACACGGUCCAGACUCCUACGGGAGGCAGCAGUAGGGAAUCUUCCGCAAUGGGCGAAAGCCUGACGGAGCAACGCCGCGUGAGUGAUGAAGGUCUUCGGAUCGUAAAACUCUGUUAUUAGGGAAGAACAUAUGUGUAAGUAACUGUGCACAUCUUGACGGUACCUAAUCAGAAAGCCACGGCUAACUACGGGCCAGCAGCCGCGGUAAUACGUAGGUGGCAAGCGUUAUCCGGAAUUAUUGGGCGUAAAGCGCGCGUAGGCGGUUUUUUAAGUCUGAUGUGAAAGCCCACGGCUCAACCGUGGAGGGUCAUUGGAAACUGGAAAACUUGAGUGCAGAAGAGGAAAGUGGAAUUCCAUGUGUAGCGGUGAAAUGCGCAGAGAUAUGGAGGAACACCAGUGGCGAAGGCGACUUUCUGGUCUGUAACUGACGCUGAUGUGCGAAAGCGUGGGGAUCAAACAGGAUUAGAUACCCUGGUAGUCCACGCCGUAAACGAUGAGUGCUAAGUGUUAGGGGGUUUCCGCCCCUUAGUGCUGCAGCUAACGCAUUAAGCACUCCGCCUGGGGAGUACGACCGCAAGGUUGAAACUCAAAGGAAUUGACGGGGACCCGCACAAGCGGUGGAGCAUGUGGUUUAAUUCGAAGCAACGCGAAGAACCUUACCAAAUCUUGACAUCCUUUGACAACUCUAGAGAUAGAGCUUUCCCCUUCGGGGGACAAAGUGACAGGUGGUGCAUGGUUGUCGUCAGCUCGUGUCGUGAGAUGUUGGGUUAAGUCCCGCAACGAGCGCAACCCUUAAGCUUAGUUGCCAUCAUUAAGUUGGGCACUCUAAGUUGACUGCCGGUGACAAACCGGAGGAAGGUGGGGAUGACGUCAAAUCAUCAUGCCCCUUAUGAUUUGGGCUACACACGUGCUACAAUGGACAAUACAAAGGGCAGCGAAACCGUGAGGUCAAGCAAAUCCCAUAAAGUUGUUCUCAGUUCGGAUUGUAGUCUGCAACUCGACUACAUGAAGCUGGAAUCGCUAGUAAUCGUAGAUCAGCAUGCUACGGUGAAUACGUUCCCGGGUCU